This 779-nucleotide long non-coding RNA is filed under the name Sinocyclocheilus anshuiensis. RNAcentral describes it as "lncRNA (ENSSANG00000026360.1)". The record is from RNAcentral. Lineage: Eukaryota; Metazoa; Chordata; Actinopteri; Cypriniformes; Cyprinidae.
AAAACCACUAUUAACGGCAAUGAUUAUAUGUUGCGAUAAUAAUUUUCCUUCUUGUAGUUGAAACUUCAGAAGACAUCCAGAAAGCAUGGGAAGUGAUAAGGAAGAUUAUGAUACGGCUGAACACACUGACAGAGCAGUGGCAAGGGCAGUAUCUGACUGUCCACAGUCCCUAGGACUUGAGGAAAAACAAACUUGCCUUAAUGGACACCAACGAAGGACGGAGUUGCUGUUCCCUUGAAGUAAAUGCAUUUAUUUACAGAGAAAUACAACAUGCAUUUAGUCUUCUUCCCUUUAUAAUUCUUAAAUAUUUUUUGUUUUCAGCUCCUGAUGCUUCGACCUAAAGACAGGGCAUAUGGAACAAACAAUAAUAACAAAUAAUACAAAUAAAAACUCAUUUGACUUGAUGGGAAAGGCUGUUAAAGCCUACAUCAGACUACAAAUGUGUAAUUCCUUAAAUAUUGUAAAACACAACUUGAACACAUAUUUAAGUACUGUAAUUAAUUAAAAUACCAACUUGCACAGACAAUAGCAUUGUAAUGUUUCCAACACGUUAUUACAUAAAAUGUAUAUUUCUUGAUUUAGCAUGAAAUGGAGGAAUCUAACAUUAUUUUGGGGAACAUACACAAGUUUUCUGUAGUCUCCUCUCAGUAAGAAAUUGUUCAGUGGAUAUGUUGUCUUGUAGAAACAUAUUGUCGCCGCUAGGGGGUGAUCUUUAUACAUUUACGUUUCACAAUUUCACUGUUUGUGGAGGGUAAAUAUUGCUGCUGUGGAGUCCAGGC